Molecule: ribosomal RNA, 764 nt
Filed under: uncultured archaeon
Lineage: Archaea
Description: bacterial SSU rRNA
Rfam family: Archaeal small subunit ribosomal RNA
Source: RNAcentral
GGAGGUCACUGCUAUUGGGAUUCGACUAAGCCAUGCGAGUCGAGAGGGUUCGGCCCUCGGCUGACGGCUCAGUAACACGUGGAUAAUCUGUCCUUAGGUGGAGGGCAAUCUCGGGAAACUGAGAAUAAUACUCCAUAGAUCUAGGAUGCUGGAAUGCACUUAGAUUGAAAGCUCCGGCGCCUAAGGAUGAGUCUGCGGACUAUCAGGUUGUGGUCAGGGUAAUGACCUGACUAGCCUACGACGGAUACGGGUUGUGAGAGCAAUAACCCGGAGACGAUAUCUGAGACACGAUAUCGGGCCCUACGGGGCGCAGCAGGCGCGAAAACUUCACACUGUGCGAAUGCACGAUGAGGGAAUCCCAAGUGCCAACUCGUAAGAGUUGGCUGUUUCUCUGUCUAAAAAAUAGAGAGAGUAAGAGCUGGGUAAGACGGGUGCCAGCCGCCGCGGUAAUACCUGCAGCUCAAGUGGUGGCCACUAUUAUUGGGCCUAAAACGUCCGUAGCCGGUUUAAUAAAUGCCGGGGUAAAUCGUGUAGCUUAACUAUACGAAUUCCGGGUAGACUGUUAGACUUGAGACCGGGAGAAGCUAGAGGUACUCCUAGGGUAGAGGUGAAAUUCUGUAAUCCUAGGGGGACCACCAGUGGCGAAGGCGUCUAGCUAGAACGGGUCUGACGGUGAGGGACGAAGCCCUGGGGCGCAAACCGGAUUAGAUACCCGGGUAGUCCANGGUGUAAACGCUGCUCGCUUGAUGUUAGUUGGGCUCCGA